CUUCCGAGCUAAGACCAAAUUAAAACAGUUUCAAAAGAGACGAAAUUUACUAUAUUACAGUUACACUAUAUCAUCAAUAAUUAACCAUUUAUAUUUUUUCUUUUAAUACACAGUAUAAUAAAAAUAUUUUUUAAUAAUUAUGAUGGACCUGAUGAAUUAAAAAAAAAAUUAAUAUAAACAUCAUAUCAACAAUAUAACUUAUGUAUUUUAAAUUUUUUUCUCAAAAAGGCUAAAAGGACGAAACUGUCCUUGUGGCCCCGCCGACCAUUUCACGUUGACCACUGUAGAAUAAAUAAAUAAAUAAAUAUAUAAAUGCAUAAAUAAAUGUAGUGUGGUUAAUUCGCUCCCCAAUGAGUGAGCGUGUUCGGUUCGGUCCAAACCAUAUGUAGGUCCUGGUCAAUUUCAUGGUACCAAAAAUUAAAUUGAGUUAGGUUAAAAACUCAGGUUUGAUUUGUCAGUUUAAAUACUUAUUUUUAAAUUUUAUUAAAAUUUUAAUUUAUUAAGUGAUAUUUGAAAAGUCAAAAAAGUAUGAAAUUUAUUUGAAUUAUGGAUCGUUUGGAUUUGAUUACCUCACCUUUCAAAAUUUUGAUUUAAUUAUUCAACUGUUUAAUUUAUUCGAUUUCAAUUAGCAAACGAUAUUUUGACUCAGAUUUUGAAAUCAAAGUUUCGUUGACUGACUCAAGUGAAAAAAAAAUAAAAAUUUUG
RNAcentral lists this long non-coding RNA (705 nucleotides) under Ananas comosus (pineapple). RNAcentral's name for it is "long non-coding RNA (ACOM_LNC019213)". The record is from RNAcentral. Lineage: Eukaryota; Viridiplantae; Streptophyta; Magnoliopsida; Poales; Bromeliaceae.